GGACAAUGGCCACUUAAGUAUCCUGCUGUCGUCCAUUCUUCAUCGUGUCCUACUCAGUGGAGUGAUGUUACCAUGAGCACUGCUGCAGUGGCUGAUGAGCUGACAGCUUUCAGGACCUCCUCUAUUGGUGAAAAGGCUAGAGUCUAAAGACAUCAUGGCCAUAAGCUCACCAUGAACAACAUUAUUGGCUAGAACUGCAGCAGCCAUAUACUGGUUAUGCUUUCUGCAAGCUAAACAAAGAGUCAUAAAACGGAUCAAAAUCAGCUUUCAUCUUCUGCCAGAUUGAAGCGUGGGCUGCAAAGGUCACUGAAGUCUGAAGUGGGGCAAGCCUGGAUACAGAAAGACCUGGGGAAUGCAGGGAUCUCUCAACAAGAUAUAAUGGCAUUUGGCAGAAUGUGUCUGCUGCAGGUUGCCUUUGCUCUGGAGGUGGAGAUCAUUUUUAUGAGACUGUGGAAGGACAUCAAGUGAAAAAAAGGUUCUUCGGGAAUCAAUUACAGCAGGUCCAGAAAAUAUAUUGCUCUAAAGAGGAAUCCAUCCGGGCAGUAUGGAACACAAUUCAUUGUGAAUGGUUUGGAGCCACGAACCUCCCACCCCUAUGGAAACAGAUGGGUGGGUCAAUGAAGGUUUCUGAGGGCUAGUCGAAUAUUGGAAGCGUCAGGUUAGCCUUAAAACAUGGUAUUCUCCUGUGCAGUAGAUUAGACUCAAAUCUCUCAUAAAGGAAUUGGGGUGGUUUCCCAGAAAUAAAUAGCUCUGGUGUUGUAGCAAAAGGGAAGAACAAUGUUGUGCAUAUCCCCUAGGCAGGCACCAAUUUUCUUGCCUUUCAAGCUCCUUCGAAGAGCUGUCUGAGCCCGCCCUCCCUCGCUCCUUUAAGGAGAAUGGACAAGGGGACGAGAAGCAUUUUGAAUUUCUACACCCUCUAUUAUACCAAACACUCUGGGGCAUAUCAAACAUCCUGGAGCUCAAUGAGUUGAACAUUAGAAGUACCCUCCCCUCCUUAUUCAUCUAAGGGAGCGGACAGAGCCAAAGGCUCACUGGGAGAACCAUUAAAUGAGCUCAGCUAAUUAGGGGUAAGAAAGAUUUGUGAAACCUUUUGGUGGAAAGGCUUUGAUUGACGGGAAGCAGGGGUGGGCAGGAGAGGGAAGAAAUGCCAGCAUUGCAUGAGGAAUGGAAAUGAGAGGAUUGAGAGGAAAAGCUUAGGAGCUGGGUUCAACAGGGAACUGGGGAAAGGACAUUCAUAGUUUUUUUUUUUUUUAACUCAUUCUUCAUUUCAAAUUUCUAGCACUAAAAGAGAAAGGCAGAGCUAGCUUCAGGCCAGAAGAUAGAACUUUCUACUCGUAUGCACGUUCAGUACUUCUCCAGUUUGAUUCAAAAAGUCUUCAGCCCUGCCAAACCUUUUACUAGGCUGCAAAAUCGCUUCCCACAGUAAUUAGUGUCAUAGAAAUGAUCUGGUGAAAGAAAAUCAGAGGCCUAAGGAAAUGCAGGCCUCAUGCUUUGGAUCAGAUUUUCAACUUAUUAACUAUUUUACUUGUCCCUGGUUUCAUGUGUUUAAGCCCAGACUGAUUUCUUUAAGAACUCUGUUUCUAUGAACGUGCUCCGAUAUAUAACUACUUUUAAAACCAAUUAAAACUUUACAUGUGUGAUAAACACUGACAGCAACUACCUUGGAAAAUAUUGUCUAAAUCUUGAGAUGCGUCUUUUCCCUAAAUUGCUCAAAGUUCCAUUCUUUAAGAAUCACAUGUAUCAUUUUCCUUGAUGCAGUAAGGGGCAUAGAACUUGAUGCUGAUUUAUAGUAUCUCCAAGUUGGUGGACUUUUGAAUUUCCUGUGACUUUGUGUGAAGACAAAGAUGACAAAGGUUCUAUUUAUGGAUAAUUAUAAAAUUGUAACCAACACUU
Molecule: long non-coding RNA, 1893 nt
Organism: Ornithorhynchus anatinus (platypus)
Lineage: Eukaryota; Metazoa; Chordata; Mammalia; Monotremata; Ornithorhynchidae
Exons: 5
Source: RefSeq, a predicted model, not a curated record